AAAGGAAGAGAAGGAAGAGGAGGAGGAAGAAAAAAGGGGGGGGAAGCCCCAACUGCAGUAUUCAUUUCUCAUCUUUUUCGUCUCUCUCUUUCUCUUUUUUCCCUCUCUUUUCU
RNAcentral lists this non-coding RNA (113 nucleotides) under Palpitomonas bilix. The record is from RNAcentral.